UGGGGAAUUUUGGACAAUGGGCGCAAGCCUGAUCCAGCAAUGCCGCGUGCAGGAUGAAGGCCUUCGGGUUGUAAACUGCUUUUGUACGGAACGAAAAGCCUCUCUCUAAUACAGGGGGUGAUGACGGUACCGUAAGAAUAAGCACCGGCUAACUACGUGCCAGCAGCCGCGGUAAUACGUAGGGUGCAAGCGUUAAUCGGAAUUACUGGGCGUAAAGCGCGCGCAGGCGGUUUUGUAAGACAGUGGUGAAAUCCCCGGGCUCAACCUGGGAACUGCCAUUGUGACUGCAAGGCUGGAGUGCGGCAGAGGGGGAUGGAAUUCCGCGUGUAGCAGUGAAAUGCGUAGAUAUGCGGAGGAACACCGAUGGCGAAGGCAAUCCCCUGGGCCUGCACUGACGCUCAUGCACGAGAGCGUGGGGAGCAAAACAGGAUUAGAUACCCUGGUAGUCCACGCCCUAAAACGAUGUCAACUGGUUGUUGGGGGAUUUAUUUCUUCAGUAACGAAGCUAACGCGUGAAGUUGACCGCCUGGGGGAGUACGGCCGC
RNAcentral lists this ribosomal RNA (544 nucleotides) under uncultured bacterium. Its description in RNAcentral is "partial 16S ribosomal RNA". It matches the Rfam family "Bacterial small subunit ribosomal RNA", at positions 355 to 889 of the family's 1533-position model. The record is from RNAcentral.